Molecule: non-coding RNA, 100 nt
Organism: Aspergillus ellipticus CBS 707.79
Lineage: Eukaryota; Fungi; Ascomycota; Eurotiomycetes; Eurotiales; Aspergillaceae
Source: the annotation of a GenBank genome assembly
GGUGCUAUGGUCUAGUGGUAUGACGCCACGUUGUGGUGAAGACAGCUCUCUGUUCUCCUGCAACUCCGUGUUAGCCCCGGUUCGAUUCCGGGUAGCGCCA